RNAcentral lists this unclassified non-coding RNA (240 nucleotides) under rhizosphere metagenome. RNAcentral's name for it is "partial ribosomal RNA internal transcribed spacer region". The record is from RNAcentral.
GUAGGUGAACCUGCGGAAGGAUCAUUACCGAGUUAGGGUCCUCUGGGCUCGACCUCCUACCCUUUGUCUACCUUACCAUUUGUUGCUUCGGCGGAUCCGUCCCCUCGGGGACCGCCGAGGGGUCUAAGGCCCCUUGACCCGCGUCCGCCGGUGGCCCACAACCAAAACCCUUGUUUAAGCGUGUCGUCUAAGUAUAAAACAAAUAAGUAAAAACUUUCAACAACGGAUCUCUUGGUUCUG